AGCAGUGGGGAAUUUUGGACAAUGGGCGCAAGCCUGAUCCAGCAAUGCCGCGUGAGUGAAGAAGGCCUUCGGGUUGUAAAGCUCUUUUGUCAGGGAAGAAACGGUGAAGGCUAAUAUCUUUUGCUAAUGACGGUACCUGAAGAAUAAGCACCGGCUAACUACGUGCCAGCAGCCGCGGUAAUACGUAGGGUGCAAGCGUUAAUCGGAAUUACUGGGCGUAAAGCGUGCGCAGGCGGUUUUGUAAGUUUGUCGUGAAAGCCCCGGGCUCAACCUGGGAAUUGCGAUGAAGACUGCAAGGCUUGAAUCUGGCAGAGGGGGGUAGAAUUCCACGUGUAGCAGUGAAAUGCGUAGAGAUGUGGAGGAACACCGAUGGCGAAGGCAGCCCCCUGGGUCAAGAUUGACGCUCAUG
RNAcentral lists this ribosomal RNA (409 nucleotides) under uncultured bacterium. RNAcentral describes it as "bacterial SSU rRNA". It matches the Rfam family "Bacterial small subunit ribosomal RNA", at positions 350 to 751 of the family's 1533-position model. The record is from RNAcentral.